This 527-nucleotide ribosomal RNA is filed under the name uncultured bacterium. RNAcentral's name for it is "partial 16S ribosomal RNA". It matches the Rfam family "Bacterial small subunit ribosomal RNA", at positions 355 to 898 of the family's 1533-position model. The record is from RNAcentral.
UGGGGAAUAUUGCACAAUGGGCGAAAGCCUGAUGCAGCAACGCCGCGUGAGUGAUGAAGGUCUUCGGAUUGUAAAGCUCUGUCUUUUGGGACGAUAAUGACGGUACCAAAGGAGGAAGCCACGGCUAACUACGUGCCAGCAGCCGCGGUAAUACGUAGGUGGCGAGCGUUGUCCGGAUUUACUGGGCGUAAAGGGUGCGUAGGCGGAUGUUUAAGUGAGAUGUGAAAUACCCGGGCUUAACUUGGGUGCUGCAUUUCAAACUGGAUAUCUAGAGUGCAGGAGAGGAGAAUGGAAUUCCUAGUGUAGCGGUGAAAUGCGUAGAGAUUAGGAAGAACACCAGUGGCGAAGGCGAUUCUCUGGACUGUAACUGACGCUGAGGCACGAAAGCGUGGGUAGCAAACAGGAUUAGAUACCCUGGUAGUCCACGCCGUAAACGAUGAGUACUAGGUGUAGGAGGUAUCGACCCCUUCUGUGCCGCAGUAAACACAUUAAGUACUCCGCCUGGGAAGUACGAUCGCAAGAUUAAA